CCUUGAAUGGACCAUAGAGCACAGAACGGUACAGAACAGGAACAGGCCCUUCGGCCCACAAUGUUUCUGCCAAACAUGAGGCCAAAAUCAUCUCUUAUCUGCCUGCACGUGAUCCAAAUCCCUCCAUUCCCUGCAUAG
This is a long non-coding RNA of Amblyraja radiata (thorny skate), 138 nucleotides long. RefSeq lists it as uncharacterized. The record is from RefSeq and is a predicted model, not a curated record. The transcript is spliced from 3 exons. NCBI's taxonomy places the organism in Eukaryota, Metazoa, Chordata, Chondrichthyes, Rajiformes, Rajidae.